AGGGAAUCUUCCGCAAUGGACGAAAGUCUGAUGGAGCAACGCCGCGUGAGUGAAGAAGGCCUUCGGGUCGUAAAACUCUGUUGUCGGGGAUGAACAAGUGCCGUUCGAACAGGGCGGCGCCUUGACGGUACCCGGCCAGAAAGCCACGGCUAACUACGUGCCAGCAGCCGCGGUAAUACGUAGGUGGCAAGCGUUGUCCGGAAUUAUUGGGCGUAAAGCGCGCGCAGGCGGCUUCUUAAGUCUGAUGUGAAAUCUUGCGGCUCAACCGCAAGCGGUCAUUGGAAACUGGGGGGCUUGAGUGCAGAAGAGGAGAGUGGAAUUCCACGUGUAGCGGUGAAAUGCGUAGAGAUGUGGAGGAACACCAGUGGCGAAGGCGGCUCUCUGGUCUGUAACUGACGCUGAGGCGCAAAAGCGUGGGGAGCAAAC
This 426-nucleotide ribosomal RNA is filed under the name uncultured bacterium. Its description in RNAcentral is "bacterial SSU rRNA". It matches the Rfam family "Bacterial small subunit ribosomal RNA", at positions 356 to 773 of the family's 1533-position model. The record is from RNAcentral.